UUAGGAAUCUUGGGCAAUGGGCGCAAGCCUGACCCAGCAACGCCGCGUGGGUGACGAAGGCCUUCGGGUCGUAAAGCCCUUUUCUUCGGGACGAUGAUGACGGUACCGGAGGAAUAAGCCCCGGCUAACUACGUGCCAGCAGCCGCGGUAAUACGUAGGGGGCGAGCGUUGUCCGGAUUUAUUGGGCGUAAAACGCUUGUAGGCGGCCACAUCGCGUCGGCUGUGAAAUCUCCCGGCUCAACUGGGAGGGGUCAGGCGAUACGGAUGGGCUCGAGGCCGGUAGGGGGACGCGGAAUUCCCGGUGUAGUGGUGGAAUGCGUAGAGAUCGGGAGGAACACCAGUGGCGCAGGCGGCGUCCUGGACCGGUACUGACGCUGAGGAGCGAAAGCGUGGGGAGCGAUCCG
RNAcentral lists this ribosomal RNA (404 nucleotides) under uncultured bacterium. RNAcentral's name for it is "bacterial SSU rRNA". It matches the Rfam family "Bacterial small subunit ribosomal RNA", at positions 355 to 775 of the family's 1533-position model. The record is from RNAcentral.